RNAcentral lists this ribosomal RNA (552 nucleotides) under uncultured cyanobacterium. RNAcentral's name for it is "bacterial SSU rRNA". It matches the Rfam family "Bacterial small subunit ribosomal RNA", at positions 343 to 909 of the family's 1533-position model. Lineage: Bacteria; Bacillati; Cyanobacteriota. The record is from RNAcentral.
GGGAGGCAGCAGUGGGGRAUUUUCCGCAAUGGGCGCAAGCCUGACGGAGCAACGCCGCGUGAGGGAGGAAUGUCUGUGGAUUGUAAACCUCUUUUCUCUGGGAAGAAGAUCUGACGGUACCAGAGGAAUCAGCAUCGGCUAACUCCGUGCCAGCAGCCGCGGUAAGACGGAGGAUGCAAGCGUUAUCCGGAAUUAUUGGGCGUAAAGCGUCCGUGGGCGGUCACUUAAGUCAGUUGUUAAAGACUGCAGCUCAACUGUGGGAGAGCAACUGAAACUGGGAGACUAGAGUAUGGUAGGGGUAGAGGGAAUUCCUAGUGUAGCGGUGAAAUGCGUAGAUAUUAGGAAGAACACCAGUGGCGAAGGCGCUCUACUGGGCCAAGACUGACGCUGAUGGACGAAAGCUAGGGGAGCGAAAGGGAUUAGAUACCCCUGUAGUCCUAGCUGUAAACGAUGGAUACUAGGUGUUGUGCGUAUCGACCCGUGCAGUACCGAAGCAAACGCGUUAAGUAUCCCGCCUGGGGAGUACGCACGCAAGUGUGAAACUCAAAUGAA